RNAcentral lists this ribosomal RNA (507 nucleotides) under uncultured bacterium. Its description in RNAcentral is "bacterial SSU rRNA". It matches the Rfam family "Bacterial small subunit ribosomal RNA", at positions 40 to 518 of the family's 1533-position model. The record is from RNAcentral.
CGGCGUGCCUAAUACAUGCAAGUCGAACGGUCUUUCUAUGGAAGCUUGCUUCCACUGAGAAGAUAGUGGCGAACGGGUGAGUAACACGUGGGUAACCUGCCCAUAAGAGGGGGGAUAACAUCCGGAAACGGGUGCUAAUACCGCAUAGUUUUCUUGAUCGCAUGAUCGGGAAAGGAAAGACGGCCUUUGUGCUGUCGCUUAUGGAUGGACCCGCGGCGUAUUAGUUAGUUGGUGAGGUAACGGCUCACCAAGACGAUGAUACGUAGCCGACCUGAGAGGGUGAUCGGCCACAUUGGGACUGAGACACGGCCCAAACUCCUACGGGAGGCAGCAGUAGGGAAUCUUCCGCAAUGGACGAAAGUCUGACGGAGCAACGCCGCGUGAGUGAAGAAAGGUUUUCGGAUCGUAAAACUCUGUUGUUAGAGAAGAACAAGGAUGAGAGUAGAAUGUUCAUCCCUUGACGGUAUCUAACCAGAAAGCCACGGCUAACUACGUGCCAGCAGCUGC